ACGGGUGAGUAACACGUGGGCAACCUGCCGGACUGAUGGGAAUAACCCCGGGAAACCGGGGCUAAUGCCCAAUACGCCCUGACCUCGCCUGAGGUCAGCGGUAAAGCAGGGAUCUUCGGAUCCUUGCACAGUCCGAUGGGCCCGCGGCGCAUUAGCUAGUUGGAGAGGUAAGGGCUCCCCAAGGCGACGAUGCGUAGCCGACCUGAGAGGGUGAUCGGCCACACUGGGACUGAGACACGGCCCAGACUCCUACGGGAGGCAGCAGUAGGGAAUCAUCCGCAAUGGGCGAAAGCCUGACGGUGCAACGCCGCGUGAGUGAUGAAGGUUUUCGGAUCGUAAAGCUCUGUUGACAGGGAAGAACCCACGCCAGUCGAACAGGCUGGCGUGCUGACGGUACCUGUCCAGAAAGCCCCGGCUAACUACGUGCCAGCAGCCGCGGUAAUACGUAGGGGGCAAGCGUUGUCCGGAAUUAUUGGGCGUAAAGGGCACGCAGGCGGUUUCGUCAGUCCGAUGUGACAGGCCACGGCUCAACCGUGGAAGGCCAUUGGAAACUGCGAAACUUGAGGACAGAAGAGGAGAGUGGAAUUCCACGUGUAGCGGUGAAAUGCGUAGAUAUGUGGAGGAACACCAGUGGCGAAGGCGACUCUCUGGUCUGUACCUGACGCUGAGGUGCGAAAGCAUGGGGAGCAAACAGGAUUAGAUACCCUGGUAGUCCAUGCCGUAAACGCUGAGUGCUAGGUGUUAGGGGUUUCGAUACCCGUAGUGCCGAAGCUAACGCAUUAAGCACUCCGCCUGGGGAGUACGACCGCAAGGUUGAAACUCAAAGGAAUUGACGGGGGCCCGCACAAGCGGUGGAGCAUGUGGUUUAAUUCGACGCAACGCGAAGAACCUUACCAGAUCUUGACAUCUUCCGCUACGCCUCGAGAGAGGCGGUUCCCCUUCGGGGGACGGAAUGACAGGUGGUGCAUGGUUGUCGUCAGCUCGUGUCGUGAGAUGUUGGGUUAAGUCCCGCAACGAGCGCAACCCCUAAUCUUAGUUGCCAGCAUUCAGUUGGGCACUCUAAGGUGACUGCCGGUGACAAACCGGAGGAAGGUGGGGAUGACGUCAAAUCAUCAUGCCCCUUAUGAUCUGGGCUACACACGUGCUACAAUGGAUGGUACAACGGGAUGCGAACCCGCGAGGGGGAGCCAAUCCAGAAAAGCCAUUCUCAGUUCGGAUUGCAGGCUGC
Molecule: ribosomal RNA, 1228 nt
Filed under: Marinococcus luteus
Lineage: Bacteria; Bacillati; Bacillota; Bacilli; Caryophanales; Bacillaceae
Description: bacterial SSU rRNA
Rfam family: Bacterial small subunit ribosomal RNA
Source: RNAcentral